Molecule: unclassified non-coding RNA, 214 nt
Filed under: Hevea brasiliensis (rubber tree)
Lineage: Eukaryota; Viridiplantae; Streptophyta; Magnoliopsida; Malpighiales; Euphorbiaceae
Source: RNAcentral
UACUGUACACAAUACAGAAAUAUCAACAUCGAGUACAUCCAAAACUCAGGUCACUAUUAUUAAGUGAGCACACUUAACAGCCUUGAAAUUGAAAUCUGAUCUGCACAGGCACUAAGCAAAAACCCUUUUCAUCUAGCACCAGCACCAACUGUUAAAACUACAAACAUUAACUAGCUCAUCCAACUUUUAUUAGAGGAGCAAAACUGCAGCGUAA